Molecule: unclassified non-coding RNA, 239 nt
Filed under: Helotiales sp.
Lineage: Eukaryota; Fungi; Ascomycota; Leotiomycetes; Helotiales
Also listed under: 1 other name
Description: partial contains 5.8S ribosomal RNA, internal transcribed spacer 2, and large subunit ribosomal RNA
Rfam family: 5.8S ribosomal RNA (bases 1-52)
Source: RNAcentral
AACGCACAUUGCGCCCCCUGGUAUUCCGGGGGGCAUGCCUGUUCGAGCGUCAUUAUGACCAAUCCCGCAAGGGGUCUUGGGGUCUCGCGGUUCGCUGCGGCCCUUAAAAUCAGUGGCGGCGCCAGCGGUGCUCUCAGCGUAGUAAUACUCCUCGCUCGGGAACCACGGUGGAUGCUCGCCAGCAACCUUUACUUUCUUAGGUUGACCUCGGAUCAGGUAGGGAUACCCGCUGAACUUAA